GUAAAACCCCCAACUUCUGAAAAUUUGACCUCG
Molecule: ribosomal RNA, 33 nt
Filed under: Cytospora pruinosa
Lineage: Eukaryota; Fungi; Ascomycota; Sordariomycetes; Diaporthales; Cytosporaceae
Description: partial 28S ribosomal RNA
Source: RNAcentral